GUAUUGGUGAUUCAGUGGUAGAAUUCUCACCUUCCAUGCAGGAGACCUGGAUUCAAUUCCUGACCAAUGCA
Transfer RNA from Loxodonta africana (African savanna elephant), 71 nucleotides. It matches the Rfam family "tRNA". Rfam says of the family: Transfer RNA (tRNA) molecules are approximately 80 nucleotides in length. Lineage: Eukaryota; Metazoa; Chordata; Mammalia; Proboscidea; Elephantidae. The record is from Rfam.